This is a long non-coding RNA of Cephus cinctus (wheat stem sawfly), 918 nucleotides long. RefSeq lists it as uncharacterized. The transcript has 2 exons. The record is from RefSeq and is a predicted model, not a curated record. NCBI's taxonomy places the organism in Eukaryota, Metazoa, Arthropoda, Insecta, Hymenoptera, Cephidae.
AACUUUCAGGUCAACUUUAUAGCUCUACGUUUUCUCGCUUAUCAUGCACGCAUUUGUACGUGUGGAUGUACCGGCAUGGCUAGGAAUGUCACACGAGCAUCAGGGAUGACUAAACUGAAUACAAUGGAAACAGAGAGAAUCCACUAUUGGUUAGUACUAUUGUAGCUACAGUGCGGACUGAAUAAUGAAUGCGCCGGCAGAAGAUCACGGGCCUAAGAUUUGUGGAUCGGGCAUAAUGGUUGCCCAUAAGGGAAAUCAGUAUCAGCUGGGUAGUAUACAGUGCAAGUCGGGACUCGAGCAAGCGGUAGGAACUGUUAUUAUCGCGUAAAUUCUACUUCGAGGUAAACAGCGAUGGAGGCUGACCCGUUAGGAGGAUAACGGAGGAAAGAAGUUCUGCCUUGAGUUGCGAGUUCGCCCGGCCACGACUUCGUUCCAGCGGCCCGUAGGAAUCUGGCCGGCCUGUUGCCGCAGCCGACGCGACCGGCGCGCUAGUUAAAACAGCAAAUCGCCUUGAAGCCAGUCCUCUUUUUUUUUCUUUCAUUCUUUUUCUCUCCUUUCUUUUUCUAUCCCAGUUACCAGCGCGACUCGAGUAGCUACACUCGUGAUCGGCCUCUACUUAUACAUAGUGCUGUGGCCACGGGCGUCUCCUGCGAGUUGAUUAACCCGCCAUGACUGCGAACGUGACGGAGGAUGGGCUGUUGUACUUAUUUUCAUUUUCUGCAACGACGAGCAGCAGGGGGAAGGAGAAGAAGAGAAAUAAAGAAGAGUGGACGCUUAAGCAGAAAGUCGAGGCAAUUAAUUAGCGUGAUUAGCGAUCCAGCAAUGGUGAGCUCAACUGCGUCUCUCGAUGCUCCAUAUCUCAUGUUGGCUUUGCCAGGCAGAGGCAAAAGGAUUUUCUCUGGUUAAAGACAAAAAAAA